UAAGGAAUUUUGGUCAAUGGACGCAAGUCUGAACCAGCCAUGCCGCGUGAAGGAUGAAGGUCCUCUGGAUUGUAAACUUCUUUUAUCUGGGACGAAAACGGGAUUUUUAUCUCAAUUGACGGUACCAGAGGAAUAAGCACCGGCUAACUCCGUGCCAGCAGCCGCGGUAAUACGGAGGGUGCGAGCGUUAUCCGGAUUUACUGGGUUUAAAGGGUGCGUAGGUGGGCUUAUAAGUCAGUGGUGAAAUCUCCGAGCUUAACUUGGAAACUGCCGUUGAUACUAUAGGUCUUGAAUUAUCUGGAGGUAAGCGGAAUAUGUCAUGUAGCGGUGAAAUGCUUAGAUAUGACAUAGAACACCAAUUGCGAAGGCAGCUUACUACAUAUAAAUUGACGCUGAGGCACGAAAGCGUGGGGAUCAAACA
RNAcentral lists this ribosomal RNA (421 nucleotides) under uncultured bacterium. Its description in RNAcentral is "bacterial SSU rRNA". It matches the Rfam family "Bacterial small subunit ribosomal RNA", at positions 355 to 774 of the family's 1533-position model. The record is from RNAcentral.